GUGGCUGUGGCUGAAUGGCAAAGUGCUUGCCUAGUACAUGUGAGGCACUGGGUUCGAUCCUCAGCACCACA
RNAcentral lists this transfer RNA (71 nucleotides) under Marmota monax (woodchuck). Its description in RNAcentral is "tRNA.Thr". The record is from RNAcentral. Lineage: Eukaryota; Metazoa; Chordata; Mammalia; Rodentia; Sciuridae.